RNAcentral lists this ribosomal RNA (1000 nucleotides) under Microbacterium sp. HBUM178501. RNAcentral's name for it is "bacterial SSU rRNA". It matches the Rfam family "Bacterial small subunit ribosomal RNA", at positions 34 to 1039 of the family's 1533-position model. Lineage: Bacteria; Bacillati; Actinomycetota; Actinomycetes; Micrococcales; Microbacteriaceae. The record is from RNAcentral.
CCCGGGCGGGGUGGCUUUACACAUGCAAGUCGAACGAUGAAGCCGGAGCUUGCUCUGGUGGAUUAGUGGCGAACGGGUGAGUAACACGUGAGCAACCUGCCCUGGACUCUGGGAUAAGCGCUGGAAACGGCGUCUAAUACUGGAUACGAGACGUGGCCGCAUGGUCAACGUUUGGAAAGAUUUUUCGGUCUGGGAUGGGCUCGCGGCCUAUCAGCUUGUUGGUGAGGUAAUGGCUCACCAAGGCGUCGACGGGUAGCCGGCCUGAGAGGGUGACCGGCCACACUGGGACUGAGACACGGCCCAGACUCCUACGGGAGGCAGCAGUGGGGAAUAUUGCACAAUGGGCGGAAGCCUGAUGCAGCAACGCCGCGUGAGGGAUGACGGCCUUCGGGUUGUAAACCUCUUUUAGCAGGGAAGAAGCGAAAGUGACGGUACCUGCAGAAAAAGCGCCGGCUAACUACGUGCCAGCAGCCGCGGUAAUACGUAGGGCGCAAGCGUUAUCCGGAAUUAUUGGGCGUAAAGAGCUCGUAGGCGGUUUGUCGCGUCUGCUGUGAAAUCCCGAGGCUCAACCUCGGGCCUGCAGUGGGUACGGGCAGACUAGAGUGCGGUAGGGGAGAUUGGAAUUCCUGGUGUAGCGGUGGAAUGCGCAGAUAUCAGGAGGAACACCGAUGGCGAAGGCAGAUCUCUGGGCCGUAACUGACGCUGAGGAGCGAAAGGGUGGGGAGCAAACAGGCUUAGAUACCCUGGUAGUCCACCCCGUAAACGUUGGGAACUAGUUGUGGGGUCCUUUCCACGGAUUCCGUGACGCAGCUAAACGCAUUAAGUUCCCCGCCUGGGGAGUACGGCCGCAAGGCUAAAACUCAAAGGAAUUGACGGGGACCCGCACAAGCGGCGGAGCAUGCGGAUUAAUUCGAUGCAACGCGAAGAACCUUACCAAGGCUUGACAUACACGAGAACGGGGCAGAAAUGGGUCAACUCUUUGGACACUCGUUGAACAGGU